CCACACGACUCUCGGCAACGGAUAUCUCGGCUCUCGCAUCGAUGAAGAACGUAGCGAAAUGCGAUACCUGGUGUGAAUUGCAGAAUCCCGCGAACCAUCGAGUCUUUGAACGCAAGUUGCGCCCGAGGCCACUCGGCCGAGGGCACGCCUGCCUGGGCGUCAC
This 163-nucleotide ribosomal RNA is filed under the name Triticum aestivum (bread wheat). Its description in RNAcentral is "5.8S ribosomal RNA". It matches the Rfam family "5.8S ribosomal RNA". From Rfam's summary of the family: 5.8S ribosomal RNA (5.8S rRNA) is a component of the large subunit of the eukaryotic ribosome. It is transcribed by RNA polymerase I as part of the 45S precursor that also contains 18S and 28S rRNA. RNAcentral also lists the same sequence under 12 other names. The record is from RNAcentral. Lineage: Eukaryota; Viridiplantae; Streptophyta; Magnoliopsida; Poales; Poaceae.